AGUGCUCUGUUGGUCAACCAGAAUAAGCCUAGAACAGCAUGAUGUUUCGUGACUUUGUGGAAUUUACUGGGGCUGACACAGUGGAAUAUGUUUCUGAAGGGGGUUCUUCAUUCUGAGUGAAAGUCUUCAAGAAUUUUUGUCUGCAGGGAGCAUAACCAUCAUCAAUGUGCAGGAGGUGAGGAUUUCACUAUGUGCCUGGAAUCCAAAGGAGGUUAUCUAUAAUCUUCCAAAGACAUGUAAUGUCUAAAUGCAACCCCAGCAACCUCAAAGGCUUUGUCUCAUCAAGUGGGAAGAAAGGGGUCAUGGCUCCUUUAGUGGUUCCCAUUGUCCUUCAGGUCUGAAGAGCAAUGGGGGCAUUGCCUGAAAUUUGAGACCAGUCUGAAGGGGCUCAAAUCACAAACACAAAAGGCGUGCACACAUGGCUGAAGUAAGUUCAUAAGCUUGAAUGAAUGGUUGUGGACAUUUUUCACAGUAUUAUCCAGCUAUACCCUGAACAGAGUCUGAUAACAUGCGAA
This is a long non-coding RNA of Chelonia mydas (Green sea turtle), 515 nucleotides long. RefSeq lists it as uncharacterized. The transcript is spliced from 4 exons. The record is from RefSeq and is a predicted model, not a curated record. NCBI's taxonomy places the organism in Eukaryota, Metazoa, Chordata, Testudines, Cheloniidae.